This 442-nucleotide ribosomal RNA is filed under the name uncultured bacterium. RNAcentral's name for it is "partial 16S ribosomal RNA". It matches the Rfam family "Bacterial small subunit ribosomal RNA", at positions 338 to 795 of the family's 1533-position model. The record is from RNAcentral.
CCUACGGGUGGCAGCAGUGGGGAAUAUUGGGCAAUGGGCGCAAGCCUGACCCAGCAACGCCGCGUGAAGGAAGACGGCUUUAGGGUUGUAAACUUCUUUUGUCAGGGAAGAGUAGAAGACGGUACCUGACGAAUAAGACACGGCUAACUCAGUGCCAGCAGCCGAGGUAAUACGUAGGUGGCCAGCGAUCUCCGGAUUUACUGGGUGUAAAGGGCGUGUAGCCGGGUUGACAAGUCAGAUGUGAAAUCCUGCGGCUUAACCGCAGAACUGCAUUUGAAACUGUUGAUCUUGAGUACUGGUGAGGCAGGUGGAAUUCCUGGUGUAGCGGUGAAAUGCGUAGAUAUUAGGAGGAACACCAGUGGCGAAGGCGGUCUGCUGGACAGCAACUGACGGUGAGGCGCGAAAGCGUGGGGAGCAAACAGGAUUAGAUACCCUUGUAGUC